GCCUGGGUGGCUCAGUUGGUUGAGCGUCCGACUUCGGCUUAGGUCAUGAUCUCACCGUUCGUGGGUUGGAGCCCCACAUCAGGCU
RNAcentral lists this transfer RNA (85 nucleotides) under Felis catus (domestic cat). It matches the Rfam family "tRNA". Rfam says of the family: Transfer RNA (tRNA) molecules are approximately 80 nucleotides in length. Their secondary structure includes four short double-helical elements and three loops (D, anti-codon, and T loops). Further hydrogen bonds mediate the characteristic L-shaped molecular structure. tRNAs have two regions of fundamental functional importance: the anti-codon, which is responsible for specific mRNA codon recognition, and the 3' end, to which the tRNAs corresponding amino acid is attached (by aminoacyl-tRNA synthetases). tRNAs cope with the degeneracy of the genetic code in two manners: having more than one tRNA (with a specific anti-codon) for a particular amino acid; and 'wobble' base-pairing, i.e. permitting non-standard base-pairing at the 3rd anti-codon position. Lineage: Eukaryota; Metazoa; Chordata; Mammalia; Carnivora; Felidae. The record is from Rfam by way of RNAcentral.